Molecule: ribosomal RNA, 492 nt
Filed under: uncultured bacterium
Lineage: Bacteria
Description: partial 16S ribosomal RNA
Rfam family: Bacterial small subunit ribosomal RNA
Source: RNAcentral
AGUGGACGCUGGCGGUAGGCCUAACACAUGCAAGUCGAACGGCAGCACAGUAAGAGCUUGCUCUUACGGGUGGCGGGUGGCGGACGGGUGAGGAAUACAUCGGAAUCUACUUUUUCGUGGGGGAUAACGUAGGGAAACUUACGCCAAUACCGCAUACGACCUACGGGUGAAAGCAGGGGAUCUUCGGACCUUGCGCGAUUGAAUGAGCCGAUGUCGGAUUAGCUAGUUGGCGGGGUAAAGGCCCACCAAGGCGACGAUCCGUAGCUGGUCUGAGAGGAUGAUCAGCCACACUGGAACUGAGACACGGUCCAGACUCCUACGGGAGGCAGCAGUGGGGAAUAUUGGACAAUGGGCGCAAGCCUGAUCCAGCCAUACCGCGUGGGUGAAGAAGGCCUUCGGGUUGUAAAGCCCUUUUGUUGGGAAAGAAAAGCAGCAGGUUAAUACCCCGCUGUUCUGACGGUACCCAAAGAAUAAGCACCGGCUAACUUCGUG